Molecule: ribosomal RNA, 1059 nt
Filed under: uncultured Cryobacterium sp.
Lineage: Bacteria; Bacillati; Actinomycetota; Actinomycetes; Micrococcales; Microbacteriaceae
Description: bacterial SSU rRNA
Rfam family: Bacterial small subunit ribosomal RNA
Source: RNAcentral
UCCUACGGGAGGCAGCAGUGGGGAAUAUUGCACAAUGGGCGCAAGCCUGAUGCAGCAACGCCGCGUGAGGGACGAAGGCCUUCGGGUUGUAAACCUCUUUUAGUAGGGAAGAAGCGACUGGGUUUUCCUGGGAGUGACGGUACCUGCAGAAAAAGCACCGGCUAACUACGUGCCAGCAGCCGCGGUAAUACGUAGGGUGCAAGCGUUGUCCGGAAUUAUUGGGCGUAAAGAGCUCGUAGGCGGUUUGUCGCGUCUGCUGUGAAAACCCGAGGCUCAACCUCGGGCCUGCAGUGGGUACGGGCAGACUAGAGUGCGGUAGGGGAGAUUGGAAUUCCUGGUGUAGCGGUGGAAUGCGCAGAUAUCAGGAGGAACACCAAUGGCGAAGGCAGAUCUCUGGGCCGUAACUGACGCUGAGGAGCGAAAGCAUGGGGAGCGAACAGGAUUAGAUACCCUGGUAGUCCAUGCCGUAAACGUUGGGAACUAGAUGUGGGGACCAUUCCACGGUCUCCGUGUCGCAGCUAACGCAUUAAGUUCCCCGCCUGGGGAGUACGGCCGCAAGGCUAAAACUCAAAGGAAUUGACGGGGGCCCGCACAAGCGGCGGAGCAUGCGGAUUAAUUCGAUGCAACGCGAAAAACCUUACCAAGGCUUGACAUAUACCGGAAACGGCUGGAAACAGUCGCCCCGCAAGGUCGGUAUACAGGUGGUGCAUGGUUGUCGUCAGCUCGUGUCGUGAGAUGUUGGGUUAAGUCCCGCAACGAGCGCAACCCUCGUCCUAUGUUGCCAGCACGUAAUGGUGGGAACUCAUGGGAUACUGCCGGGGUCAACUCGGAGGAAGGUGGGGAUGACGUCAAAUCAUCAUGCCCCUUAUGUCUUGGGCUUCACGCAUGCUACAAUGGCCGGUACAAAGGGCUGCGAUACCGCAAGGUGGAGCGAAUCCCAAAAAGCCGGUCUCAGUUCGGAUUGAGGUCUGCAACUCGACCUCAUGAAGUCGGAGUCGCUAGUAAUCGCAGAUCAGCAACGCUGCGGUGAAUACGUUCCCGGGCCUUGUACACACCGCC